CCCCCUGGGAUAUUUCCCCUUCCCUUCAGGGGACACCUCCCCCUCAUGGAUACCCCCAUGAAUAUCCCCGUUCCCCUCAGGGAUCCCCCCCUGGAACUGGGAUAUUUUCCCUUCCCUUAGGGGUCCCCCACAGGAACAGACACCCCAGGAUACCCCCUCUUUCCCUGUACCUCAUGAGACACCCAUCCUUUGAUGGACGGGCUUCCCCCCACUGUUGGGUGCCAUCUCUGAGGUACAGAAAAAGGGACACGUGCGAUGAUGCUGAGCCCAUAAAACUGGCCUGCUGGGAGUGCGCAUCCUGACAGAUUUCCCAGGAGAGCCACUUCAAAAAAGGGAUGAUCCUGGUCAAACCUGGAUAGAUAGCAACCCUACGCUCCUCACUCCCACAGUCCACUGCACUCUGCUACCCUCCUUCAGCCCCCAUGGGAGUGCGCUUGCCUCCCACCCAACUGGAGCCUGCCUGGGGUGGCACUCCCCCUGUACUACGAGCCUUCCCCUGCCUUGGGCUGUGCAACGUGACAGGUUGAUGGCAGGUUAACAGUAGCUUUUAAAACUGUCAGAUGUUUCUUGGUCUUUCUCUGGAGCCUCAGAAGUGUCAUCCAUUAGGGCGAGAAAUAGACGUCUUGGCAAGGGGCCAUUUCACUUGUGAGUAGCACGCACUCGUCUCUGUAAUAGCGCACACUGGCCACACGACUGCUUUGGGAAGAAUGCACUUGCAUGAAUAUUUUAUUUACUGCUGAAAUGAGUGAAUUCUAAUACUGAGGGACAGCCCAGAGACAAAUAGCAUCUCGGCCUGACCUGCCUUAUUCCUCUAUAGACAAAGCAGCAAGAUUACAGUUUUGUGGAAACCCAACUGCCUUUAACUUCCAGCCAGACAUCUGCUAGGGAAGGGAAGAAGGGACCCCACUUCAACACCUCCACUGGAAGGGCUGUGGAACGAGCCUCUCUUUCCCGCUCCGGAGUGAUGUGCCGUCUGUGCUAGGAAUGAUGGGGCUAUCGAGCGUUGUGCAAUGGAGACAUUUCUAUGCAACGAGUAUCAGCUAAUCAAUGGGAGCUCAUCCGGAUUCCAAACUCCCUUCAAUAGGAAUGCGGCUCGAUGCUCUGCAGAUUGCAAGUUGCCAAAGUCACAUCUUUAAUAACUGCAGUUUUAUCGAUUUAAUUUUAAAAGAAACCUUAAUAUCCUGUCUGCAUCCUGGAGUUGUAACGACAAAGACUCACUUGUUGUUUGGGAACGGGCUGGGCGAGUGAGUUUAUCCUGGAGAUAAGGGCCAGUGCCUAAUAACUCAUUCAUGGGUCGGAGUUCAGAAAAGCGUGGACACAGUGUAUUCAUUGCGUCAGGGAUUAGGUGAGCUGUUUGGCAGCCCACGCUAACUGGUGGACAUUGUUCCAGCACAGGAAGGCGACGUGCUUUCAUUUCAUGCUCUGUAUUAUCUGUAUUCCAGCUCUAGGCUCUGUGGGGGAUCCGGGGCAGGUUUGCUAUAGCUCUCCCAAGUGCUUCUUAGCCCUUCCUCCUGGGAGAUGGAGAGCUGGUUCCAAAUGAUUCGCUCUCCUACAAAGUUGCGGAGAGCUCUCCAGAGGCCACACGGUGGCAGCAUUUGCCCAAGAAGCAGCUAGGCAAGGAGAUUCUGGAACCCGCAGCGAGCAUCUGAUUGCAAUGCGUUGCUUUUCUCUUUUGGAAUACAAAGAAUUGCAGCACAGCUCCCCCAUCCAACUUUCUGUUCUAAGGACAGUUCUAGUAUAAGGCUGCCAUUCCCCCAGAGCUUCAUUGUAAACGGCUUUCAAGGACACUGGAACCUCCGUUCUCUGCUCCUGCCGUCAGCCUGUUCUCCCCAGGCAGAAAAGGGCUGGGGGCUUUCACUUGUAGUGCUUGCUCCUGAACCCAACAGCCUACGUUGUUAUUUAAGAUGAAUGGAUUCCUGGGGUGGAUGGUGCUGGAUUAAUAGCCCUGGAGUCGUCUCCUCGUUACCCAUGGAAUAGGUACAAACGUCUCCCGCGCCCAUGCACUGUUUUUGCACUGGGUGGAUCAGCUCAAGAUAGGAUCAGUUUGGGCCGCCUUGCAGAGGUUCCCAGCGAGCAGUAAGGGGUUUUGUCACAUAGCGCUAAAAGCGAGACUGAUGUCACUCCUUCAUUUCACAUGGCCCCCACAACAGACAGCAUUGUCUUCACUUGGGGCCCGUUCAAACCAGUGACCUAGACUGGAAAGUCUCCGCAUUCCAUGUGCCUUCAGUUCCCCUUCACAUUUUUUUCAGUAUUUGUUGUUGUUAAAAGCAUUGUGACAGUAUCACAACGUGAGAGCGAACAGAUGUCCAGCAGGGUGUGUUUAAGACGGUGCGUUUGUUCAAACAUGAGCAUGGGACAAUUAACAAUCCUGCCGAGCAAAGUGUCACUGGUACAUGUCCAUUACGUGAGCACAAGACACUAGUGAAAUGGCAUGUGAAUGAGCUGGUAUGGACCGUUAACCAAACAGGCACUAGGAGGUAGGUUGCAUACGGCAGUGUACCGCCCUGUCUGCUUGUCCUGUGUCAUCCUGGGUCCGUCUGCUGCUUUGUCAGAACUGCUGUCUCCGCAGCACCGGAGAGGAGAGGGCUUUCGUUCCUAAAACGUGGCGGGAAGGCAGUUCACUUCCACCUCCUUGUCCCUUGCUAAUGUCUAGAGCGGGGUGGGUUUCCCAGCUUUCUGGCGGGUCCCAGAAACGAGCUGUGUUAUCUGGGGCAUUGCACAAGCUGUUCCUCUCAGGGUUUCUUGCUGCUGAAUGAACGAUUGAACCUGAGCUUUGAUCAAGCCAAGGCAGCAACAAUUACUCAUCUUGCGAGCUCCGGGUGUGGGGAGGGAGGGAAGCCAGGCUCUGGGGAGAGCGACCACAUCUGUCCAGCUGUUGGUGACACGCUUGCCUGGUCCGACAGUGUGAUGACAGUCUCACAUUUGCACAGGCUGCCUUCAGUCUAUUCAAGUUGCGCCAUCGCAAAGCAGGUGCGGAUGCUACAGGGGAUCAAUGUCAGGAGCCAAAAUCCAGGAGCUCCCACAUCAGCUGUAGCAGUGGAAGGUGUUAGUAUCCUUAGGGCUAUUCCGCAAGGCAGCCUGGCCUCUUACAAAGAGGCAUCGGAACAUUUUGAUUCUCAAGCAGUCUCCCUGGCUGACCAUCCCUUGACGUAUCACACCGGGUAAGCUGCAGGCGUAGCGAGAUCCAGCCUGGGGUGUUCUGCAGUGCAGGCCAGGGCUGCCCUUAUCUUGAACCAAGCAAUGCCGGGAUGCCUAAUUGAAUGUAGUCUGUAGCAUUUAUAGGCUGCCAGUCGUAGUAUCUAGUUGGCCUGUCCUACCCGCAGUGCGCCAUCCAGAACCAAGCUUCCAGGCCCCAUUGUGCGAGGGGCAUUCGUCACACUGGGCUGCCCUUUGGUUUUGAAGAGGACGGUGCUCCCUUUUUAUGGAAGUUAGGUGUGGGCCUCAGCAUAGGCUGCUGGUGAAAAUAUUCGCUGGGGGGCUGAGCCCGUCCCAUGCUCACCCCACAGCGUCCGCUCCUGACCUGUGGGCCUGGGUCCUGCUCCGGCCUCUUGCCACUCAGAUUCGGAGGAGCCCGCCACAGUGGCACUUGGCGGGCAUGUCUGUGUGCAGGUGGGGCCCUCCCCCUGCUACACCCCACUCCCUUCCUGGCCCUGGCGGACAUGCGCGUUGCCUGCUGAGCUGGGCAGCAGGGUGGCUCAGAAAACAGACAGGGGAGGCUGAGCGCUCUGUAGCCCGAGCCACCCACUGCCUGCCUAUGGGCCGUGGGCUCCUGGCACCUGUCCAGUACGGUCUCAUUUGGGGAUAACAUGGAUGUUCUGCGAUGGCAGUAGCUGCAUGUCUUGGUGUUCCAAUGGCUAAGAGGACUUUGCUCAUUUGGGCCAGGUGGAUACUAGACCGUUUAGUUCUGCUGCUUUCCAUGGCAUAGGAAAGAAGGUUGCAUGCUGUUCUAGAAUAUUCUAUCCCAGCUGAGCUCUGCCAGGCUGUCGCUCAAGAUCAUAAGCACCAACCUCAGGGCAAACUGGUAAGGCAGGGCACAAACCCUCCAUUGCCUGGGAGCUCUGUACUUAGAUUUCACCAGCAAAUGAUCAAGCGUAAACUUCCCAGGCACCAUAACAGCCUGAAUAUGGAGUCACAGGCCGUCCCCUCGGGUCCUCUGCUCUGUGACGCCACCUCCCUUCAUGAUGGACGGGCCCUUCUACCAAGUAUCACAAUGAUAUUCCGGUUGCUCCCAGGCCUCAAAGACCAGUCACUUGCCCAAGGUCUGUUGCACUUUAGAGCUCCCGCCAAAGACAACACUUGGAGCCAAUCCUAGAAUAAACUAUUGAACGAUUUGUUAUGUAAGAAAAGGAAACGAGAGUUCUUGACGAGGUUAAAGCAGGUAAGCAUAGAUGCACACAAACGCGUUCCAAUGUUAAGCUUCAAAAAGUAAUAGAAGCGUCCAUAAUAAGCAAGCUGUGUGUGUCCUUUAGGGCUAGUCCAGGCUAAGCAUGGGAGAGCUGUUGCUUAUGUCUAGUAAUCCUUGCUCCAGUUCCUCCUUGUUAGGGGCUUUUGUCCUUUCCCUCCUUCUGCUGCGAGUUGCAAACUCAGCUGAUGGAGGAAUUCACUUGCAGGUCUCAUCUUCACAGGGGAAGAGGAAAGGUAAACAUCAGUCUUUGGUCCCUUUUAAUGUUCCACUCUGGUCCGUCUGGCAUUGAUAGGCCUUCUUGGUCAGGCAGGACAAUGAGACCCGCUGGAGACCAGCACGUCACGCUGGUUAUUGUCUCUCUCCUGUCUGGUGAUUUACACAGUUGCAAAGGCUGAUGAUGCAAAUGUUCAAAUCUUACCAUACAGUGUGGGCUACAGAUGUUAUACGUGAGAUUAAUGCAGGCAGCAGCUCACAAGCGUUCAAUAAAGUCUAA
Chrysemys picta bellii (western painted turtle) is the source of this 4898-nucleotide non-coding RNA. The record is from RefSeq and is a predicted model, not a curated record. NCBI's taxonomy places the organism in Eukaryota, Metazoa, Chordata, Testudines, Emydidae.